GAUAAUCGUGCAUGAGCCGCUAACUCAUCAAAAACAAAUACUUGUUAUUAUCC
RNAcentral lists this transfer RNA (53 nucleotides) under Lithobius maqinensis. RNAcentral describes it as "transfer RNA-Ser". Lineage: Eukaryota; Metazoa; Arthropoda; Chilopoda; Lithobiomorpha; Lithobiidae. The record is from RNAcentral.